GAACCGGAACCGGAACCGGAACUGGUUCAGGCAACUGUCUGGACAGGAACCGCAACUGCAGGUCAUGGGCUUCUCUAGGGGACUGUGGCUCCAAUCCUCGCUACAUGCACGUGUACUGUAGACAAAGUUGCAACAGAUGCUCAGGAGGCGGAGGAGCAGGUGGAUCCUGUGUGGAUGCAAACACCAACUGCAGGAGCUGGUCGAUGAUGGGGA
Molecule: long non-coding RNA, 213 nt
Organism: Haliotis rubra (blacklip abalone)
Lineage: Eukaryota; Metazoa; Mollusca; Gastropoda; Lepetellida; Haliotidae
Exons: 3
Source: RefSeq, a predicted model, not a curated record